Molecule: long non-coding RNA, 260 nt
Organism: Telopea speciosissima
Lineage: Eukaryota; Viridiplantae; Streptophyta; Magnoliopsida; Proteales; Proteaceae
Exons: 2
Source: RefSeq, a predicted model, not a curated record
UUCUUCUUCUUCUUCUUUUCCUUCUUCCUUCUUUGUGUGGAUCGGGAGAAUGAAUACAGUGAGAACACCAUCAGCCCUUUGUCUCCCGAUCGUAAUUGGGUUUAUAUUGUUGAUGCUUCUGCAAAUGAGCCACGGACAGGGCAUCGCUCCUUCUACUGAGACUGCUCCAGCGCCUUCCGAUGGAACGAUGAUCGAUCAAGGGAUUGCUUACCUACUCAUGCUCAUGGCUUUGGCUCUCACUUACAUCAUUCACUGAUUUU